UACGAAGGGUGCAAGCGUUACUCGGAAUUACUGGGCGUAAAGCGUGCGUAGGUGGUUUGUUAAGUCUGAUGUGAAAGCCCUGGGCUCAACCUGGGAAUUGCAUCUCAUACUGGCGCGCUAGAGUAUGGCAGAGGCAAGUGGAAUUGGCAGUGUAGCAGUGAAAUGCGUUGAUAUCGGGAGGAACACCCAUGGCGAAGGCAGCAAGCUGGGCGACACCUGACGCUGAGGCGCGAAAGCGUGGGUAGCAAACAGG
RNAcentral lists this ribosomal RNA (253 nucleotides) under uncultured bacterium. Its description in RNAcentral is "partial 16S ribosomal RNA". It matches the Rfam family "Bacterial small subunit ribosomal RNA", at positions 524 to 776 of the family's 1533-position model. The record is from RNAcentral.